AGCCGAAACGGGCAGCAGUCGCCCGUCUGUGUGGGAUGACCGCCCACGCAUUGACGAGGCAGGUCAGA
Molecule: non-coding RNA, 68 nt
Filed under: Clostridium sp. AF50-3
Lineage: Bacteria; Bacillati; Bacillota; Clostridia; Eubacteriales; Clostridiaceae
Source: RNAcentral